CGUGCAGUGACAACCACAAGCUUGGGGCUGCGUUGGAUGGGGACCGCCUGGAUUACUUCCCAGCCCGGUGAUGAGCCGGGUUAACGCGGGGACUGUGCGCGAUACAACGCCUCUGUGCAUUUUCAAGGCGUUUCCUCCUGUUGCUGAGGGAACCGUGUCCGCACGGCCGCUGCGCGCUGUUCCCCAGCCCCAGUUUGCUCUCCAGGGCUGCCGGAUUUGUGCCCACGUCCUGCGGGUUGCCGCCUGCUAAACCCGCUCACGUGGUGGGCAGUCUUCCAGUGCUGACAGUUCAGUGCCUUGCUGAUGUACGUGGUGUUGUGCAAGCCCAGCAGGUAGUGAGGACAGAAAUGCAGCACCCCGCUACACCCUGAUGCCUUUCCUUACCCUUGAGCCAACUAAUUUGGGGAACUUUUCAACUCAGCGUGACACGCGCCCCUGGUAGAUACUCAUACAUAUCUUGUUUUCCACUUUCAGAGUUCUUGAGUGCCACAGAGACUAUUUGUUUCUCCAGCAGGCGUGCUAGAGGGAAGCAAAUCCUUCUGCUGUGGUAAUGAAAAGGAAAAAUGAGAAUCUUUUCUGUCCUGGGAGAGCCUCUGCCUCCGCCCAGGGAGAGGAGACUGGGAGGGGAAUGUAGCACCUGGGAGGACAAUAGUUGUCUGCAGAUAUGAAGCUGGAGGCUUUGAUAUGGAAAGCAAGAGGGGUGUCGUACUGUUUUCAGUAAUGAAAUCAGGAGCCCAGCUGGGAGCUGAUCCUGUUUGCUUUGCCAAGGCACGCUGCCAGUGCAGAGCAAUUGACAGACACCUCAGCUUGUUAAAGGUUAUAAAUCAGCACUUAACUAGCAGCCUUACAUGUGAGAUCUCUCUCUGGCAGAGGGACGUGCUUCAGCUGAAAGGUGUCAACAGGGCAGUUGUGAUUUUCCUCUGUGUAGGUGUGAAAUUGUGCCUAGGCGAUCCUCUGGCUGUCUCUGAAUCCUGUGCCUCCGAGUGCAUGAAAUCCCCCUCUGCACUGCUUUAAUUUUCCUUUUAGAGGUGGGACUCCUUAGAUUUAAUGAUUAACUGAGCGCUGUUGGGCGAGGUGUUUGCACAGAGGAGUUUGCAGCCCUGUGCAAGGGGCAUGCCCCUCACUGGGAAGAGGCUUCUGCUCUUUUUUCCUCCCUUUUUGCCUCGCUUAGAGCUGUGUUUUUGGGGGGCUAGGUCAGUGGCAG
Molecule: long non-coding RNA, 1204 nt
Organism: Oxyura jamaicensis (ruddy duck)
Lineage: Eukaryota; Metazoa; Chordata; Aves; Anseriformes; Anatidae
Exons: 3
Source: RefSeq, a predicted model, not a curated record